UACGAUCGGUGACAGGUGGUGCAUGGUUGUCGUCAGCUCGUGUCGUGAGAUGUUGGGUUAAGUCCCGCAACGAGCGCAACCCCUAUUGUUAGUUGCCAUCAUUCAGUUGGGCACUCUAGCGAGACUGCCGGUAAUAAACCGGAGGAAGGUGGGGAUGACGUCAAAUCAUCAUGCCCCUUAUGACCUGGGCUACACACGUGCUACAAUGGUUGGUACAACGAGUUGCGAGUCGGUGACGGCGAGCUAAUCUCUUAAAGCCAAUCUCAGUUCGGAUUGUAGGCUGCAACUCGCCUACAUGAAGUCGGAAUCGCUAGUAAUCGCGGAUCAGCACGCCGCGGUGAAUACGUUCCCGGGCCUU
RNAcentral lists this ribosomal RNA (358 nucleotides) under uncultured Streptococcus sp. RNAcentral describes it as "bacterial SSU rRNA". It matches the Rfam family "Bacterial small subunit ribosomal RNA", at positions 1023 to 1382 of the family's 1533-position model. The record is from RNAcentral. Lineage: Bacteria; Bacillati; Bacillota; Bacilli; Lactobacillales; Streptococcaceae.